RNAcentral lists this ribosomal RNA (467 nucleotides) under uncultured bacterium. RNAcentral's name for it is "partial 16S ribosomal RNA". It matches the Rfam family "Bacterial small subunit ribosomal RNA", at positions 30 to 507 of the family's 1533-position model. The record is from RNAcentral.
GCGCACGCUGGCGGCGUGCUUAACACAUGCAAGUCGCACGGAAAGGCCCUGCUUUUGUGGGGUGCUCGAGUGGCGAACGGGUGAGUAACACGUGAGUAACCUGCCCUUGACUUUGGGAUAACUUCAGGAAACUGGGGCUAAUACCGGAUAGGAGCUCCUGCUGCAUGGUGGGGGUUGGAAAGUUUCGGCGGUUGGGGAUGGACUCGCGGCUUAUCAGCUUGUUGGUGGGGUAGUGGCUUACCAAGGCUUUGACGGGUAGCCGGCCUGAGAGGGUGACCGGCCACAUUGGGACUGAGAUACGGCCCAGACUCCUACGGGAGGCAGCAGUGGGGAAUAUUGCACAAUGGGCGGAAGCCUGAUGCAGCAACGCCGCGUGCGGGAUGACGGCCUUCGGGUUGUAAACCGCUUUCGCCUGUGACGAAGCGUGAGUGACGGUAAUGGGUAAAGAAGCACCGGCUAACUACGUG